GAUGAACGCUGGCGGCGUGCUUAACACAUGCAAGUCGAGCGAAGCACUUGAAUUUGAUUCUUCGGAUGACGAUUCAUUUGACUGAGCGGCGGACGGGUGAGUAACGCGUGGGUAACCUGCCUCAUACAGGGGGAUAACAGUUAGAAAUGACUGCUAAUACCGCAUAAGACCACGGUGCCGCAUGGCACAGUGGUAAAAACUCCGGUGGUAUGAGAUGGACCCGCGUCUGAUUAGCUAGUGUGGGUAACGCCUACCAAGGCGACGAUCAGUAGCCGACCUGAGAGGGUGACCGGCCACAUUGGGACUGAGACACGGGCCCAAAUCCUACGGGAAGCAGCAGUGGGGAAUAUUGCACAAUGGGGGAAACCCUGACGCAGCGACGCCGCGUGAAGGAUGAAGUAUUUC
RNAcentral lists this ribosomal RNA (405 nucleotides) under uncultured bacterium. Its description in RNAcentral is "bacterial SSU rRNA". It matches the Rfam family "Bacterial small subunit ribosomal RNA", at positions 28 to 419 of the family's 1533-position model. The record is from RNAcentral.